CGCAGGUUAAGAUCCUCCCUGGGCUCCGCGUUCGGCUCCAGUCCUUUCCACGAUCUUCUGUGAGCUCCUGGGACAUACUGCAGACAACUUCAGCUCAACAAGGAUGGUAUGGCAUCCGGCUGAGUGAAGCCUCCUCUGGAUAACUCGCUUGCGUGAUAAAGGUCCAGACUGACACCAAAUGACGGCUUUCCAAAUUCAUACCUUUGCCUUCCUCCCAGGACUGCAACACUGUCAGAUGUGUUCAUGUCCAUUAUUCUGCAGUAGCCAACUCUCUUCACUGUGGAUCUCCAAGUGGACCUCAUCAAUAUGGGAGGAAAACUUCUAUCGACAUUCUGGAUAGCAUAAUUCUGAGGCUUUGGGCCUUCUGAGAGAGCUACCUCACGGAGACACAGCAGGAGGUUGCAAAGGACACAGUUCCAGUGAGACCACUCGUUUCAAAUUAUCUCUAUGGUCAGUUCUAUAGGGAUCGCCCAGCUUCUGUUUCUCACUGCAGUCUUUCAGAAAAUGUUGAAAAAUCAGAUUGCUUUAGUGCAGCUGUAUUUAUAUCAGUCAAGAAAAAUUGGCUUUUGUGAGCUAAAAAUUACCAUGAUUUAGAUGUGUGUAUGUGGAUAAACAUAUGAAAAAUAUGUAUAUAUGCUUUUGUGGAUUGAUUUUGAAUAUCUAUAGCUAUAUAUUAUUGGGUUGGUGAUUCUACAUUAAAAGACCCAAAAAGAGGAACAUGGGAUGUACUCACUCAUAUUUGGUUUCUAGACAUAAACAAAGGACAUUGAGCUUAUAAUUAGUGAUCCUAGAGAAGCUAAAUAAGGAGAACCCAAAGAAAAACCUUCAUCAGGCGAUGAAAGGAGACAGAGACAGAGUCCCACAUUGGAGCACCGGACAGAAAUCUCAAGGUCCAAAUCAGGAGCAGAAGGAGAGAGAGCACGAGCAAGGAACUCAGGACCGCGAGGGGUGCACCCACACACUGAGACAAUGGGGAUGUUCUAUCGGGAACUCACCAAGGCCAGCUGGCCUGGGUCUGAAAAAGCCUGGGUUAAAACCGGUCUCGCUGAACAUAGUGGGCAAUGAGGACUACUGAGAACUCAAGAACAAUGGCAAUGGGUUUUUGAUCCUACUGCACGUACUGGCUUUGUGGGAGCCUAGGCAGUUUGGAUGCUCACCUUACUAGGCCUGGAUGGAGGUGGGUGGUCCUUGGACUUCCCACAGGGCAGGGAAACUUGAUUGCUCUUUGGGCUAA
Molecule: long non-coding RNA, 1234 nt
Organism: Alexandromys fortis (reed vole)
Lineage: Eukaryota; Metazoa; Chordata; Mammalia; Rodentia; Cricetidae
Exons: 3
Source: RefSeq, a predicted model, not a curated record